CUCUGUCCAGAGCUGCGAUGUGCCACCAGCUCGAGGUCGCCGAGGAGGAGCCCGGCCUCCCGCCUGCGCUUUUGUGCCGCUAUAAAAAGCCACUGAAGGGCCACUUUGUGAGCCGCAGCUCCGCUCACAGCGUAGGAGGAGGAAGCAGCUGAAGCCACUGGCCCACGGCCCCAGCCCCGCUUCCGCCCCCCGUGGGGCCGCGAACCCGGAAACCUCCGCGGCCCCCGCGGGUGGGGGGCACAGAGGGGAGGGACCCGGUCGCAGCCCAGACUUUGCCAAGCCGCGUCUCUGGGGGCCCUGAUCCUCGGCCGGUUUCCCCGAGGGCAGAGCUGGGGCAGGGCCGUGGAGUCCUGCCUGGGGCUUCACAGUGCUAAAGCAGCAAAGGCUGGAUCGAAAGAACAGCUCCAAACCAGUGAUCCUAAUUUCAUCGCCAAGGACCCCGGAGCAUCCAUGUUUUGGCAAAGACUGUUGGGCUUGCCCUGAGUAUCUGGACAAUCACAGGGUUCUAGAUGGGAGAAGCAGAUUAAAGGGCCACAUUCUGUCCUGGCUGAGGAGCGGACAGCCACAAAAGGUAACUUCUUUUGGGGGGCUGAGACCCCUGCACAGUCCUUUCUGACCCAACAGGUAAUUGCUAGCAAAACAAUCUCUUUUCUUUAACUUGUGAAAUACUUGCCAGGAGAUAUCACGCCUGAGGCUUCAGAAGGAGCUCAUCCCUCAUAUUUGUGUGUGUGUGUGUGACAUUAUGGAUUAUUUGUGUAUGUAUAGUGCACAGCAGGCCAU
This 780-nucleotide long non-coding RNA is filed under the name Fukomys damarensis (Damara mole-rat). RNAcentral's name for it is "lncRNA (ENSFDAG00000022834.1)". The record is from RNAcentral. Lineage: Eukaryota; Metazoa; Chordata; Mammalia; Rodentia; Bathyergidae.